CUAAUAAGUAAUAAUCUCCCUGCUUUUUCUUCAGUUAAAUAAAUAUUCCAAGCACCAUAACCACCAAAGCCCGCUGUAGUGCUAUGGUUAUGGUACCAGGAGUGUCCUGUAAAAUGCAAACCAUUUAGUAGGUUUUGACAACUUACCUGAGUCCCACCAAGCACCCCAGCCAUAUCCUCUGGUUUCCGGAUUGCUUUAUUAUUAUUAUUGCCAUUUAUAUAGUGCCAACAGAUUCCAUAGUGCUUUACAAUAUUAUAAAGGGGGGGAGGGGGAUUUAACUAUAAAUAGGACAAUUACAAGAAAACUUACAGGAACGAUAGGUUACAGUCUAUAGAAUAGAGAAAGCGAGUCAAUGCAGGGCCCCCCUCAUUGGCUGAGAACAUGAGAACAUUCCGUUGAUUCUCUCUGCUAACGGUUGCAAUCCUGCUUUGCGUUAAGAAGAUGUUCCUACUGGAGAAGAACGUAUGUAGCAAAAAUUGUAUUGACCAACUGAGAGAUUUUAGUUUCCUCGCCCAAUUUCAGUACAUAUUUUAUUAUUUUUGAGAACUUUACCGUUUAUUCGCUAAAUAGAGCAAUAUACUGAAUUGAAAACCAAAUUGCAAAUAUAUCUACUCAGGAAAAAGAUCUCCAACUGUGUAGUCAGUUUGACUAUGGCAUACUUGCAAAAACAGAAUAUUCAAGGAUAUAAUCUUUCAAUGUAGGGUAAUAACUGCUUGAUCCAAGGAUAAAUCUGACUGCCAUUCUGGGGUCAAGAAGGAAUUUUUUUCCUAGCUUGUUGCAAAAUUGUGCUUCAUAUUGGGUUUUUUGCCUUCUUUUGGAUCAACAGCAAAAAACAAAUGUGAGGAAGGCUGAACUUGAUGCAAGUCUCUUUUCAGCUAUGUAACUAUUCACCACAAUUCACUGUUUAUUGAAGAAACUUUCCUUCUACCCGUCUGAGUGUUGGAGGGAGGAAUAAUCAUUUUUAUUGCCCACCCAUGUGACACACAAAGGGUUAGAGUGUGCAAAAUGUGUCUGUUUAUUCCCCACAACUGUGAUAACUAACCUUUGACAUUCCCCAUGUUGUGAAAAGUGUUACUUCUAAUGUUUACAACAGCUGGAGUGCUAAAGGUUAACUGUGUCUUGUUCAUUAAAUGUCAGGCCACAUUCAGAGUGUUAUUCACCAAAGUGUGAAUUUUUGGGAAUUCAACAUGAACUUAAACUGACUAUUAGAUUUUAGGCCACAAACCGGGAAACCGCUCACAUGGAAAAUUUUCUAAAUCCGCUACUAAAAAUUGAAUUUGAAUUAUUAUUCACUGUAGCGAACUAUCCUGGCAGUGAUGGAAAGUUCUUGUGUUUAUAACCAAUACCCACUUUUAUUUGAAGACUUUGUUAAAACCAGUGACAGGGGUAUUUUAAAGAUUUAAAAGAUUGCUGGGUGGGAAUUGUAACAAGGAGCAUGCUUGAAUCUGUUCCCCUUCUGUGUUGCUGCAUGACAUUACUGGUCUGCAGGAAAUAUGGUUCCUUUGUGUUUUGAAUCAGAGUUGUAAUCCACAAUUAUUCUCUUUUGUUCUAGCCGCAGGGACGCCAAGUCGACGAAGAUUCCAUCGAAGCAGCAUGAAAUGACGCUCCUAAAUAUAAAUAAAUGUCUUGCGCCCCUGCUUUACAGGUUUUAUUGGUAGCCUAUUUAUUUUUUCACUGACCAGCAUGACGUGUUUAGAGGUUUUAAACCUGGUAAAAGCCACAUGAUGAAAAAGGAUGAAGCAGAAUGUUUUCUAGUGACGUCUAAGUCCAUUUUUCUUGCAUUCCACAUUUGUUUUGCAACUUUUAAUUAACUGUCCCCCCAACCAAGGAGGACUGAUAGUUCACAAUCAAACAUGUCUCCUUGAGCCAACAUCAUUAUACACAGUAACCUCUUGAAAUACAAUGGCUCUAGUAACUCUUAUUUUUUAUAAUCAUCCUCUUGUAUUUCUGAUUCAUACAACAUACAUGUAUAAAAGGUCUUCUGUAUCUCCCAAAUUGUAUGAUAUAAAACACUUUGCACCACUGUAAUAUUUUUAGCUUGAAUAAUUGAAUCAUACUAUAUGAAUUAUGUCUAUAUGGCUUUGAACUAUAAUUGCAUUAAAUAUAUUGGACUAUAAUAUCCAAUUAUUGUGAAGGCAAUAGUCAUAAUAUCAUGCAACAGUGUCUGUUCAUCUGCUAAGUCAAAAACUUUUGGAUCACUAAUAUGAUGGCUGAAUAAAACUGCACAAACCCAUUUUUCUUUCUGUCAGUGUGGAGCCUGUAGCCAUCCAUGUACAGGAAUCCAGCAUUCAUUGAAUCCAUGACAUCAAUGGGAAAUGCACAAAUGAGCAUUUAUUAAACCAUUUCCUAUGUGUUGUGUUUCCAUCAAUUAACAGUGUGCAUUGUUUUGACAUUUUGUUUAUGUACAUAUCAACAAGAUACUAAUAAAAAAUGCUAUGUAACAAGUACCGCUAAUUUUACUGGCUUAAGACACUCCAGACACCAAUACAACAUUAAUGCAUUUGAUCGGUUUUGACCUCAUUAGUACGCUGUAUUUUUCAUGUUCAACUCAGUCUAGUUUUUGUAGAAUGCUACAUCAUAAUCCUGCCCCAUUAGUCUUGCCCCCUUCACUUUAAAAUAAAAAAUAAAAAAAAUGUCUUUCUCAAAUGCAUGUACACAGCUCAGCCACUGACAGCACUGAGUGAUCUGAACUACAAAAGCAACAUGCGUUUAAAGAAGAAGAGGACACCCAAGGAGAUAAAUAGUAAGGAUAUCACUACCUGCUUAUAGUUUCUGUGACUGUCAGCAGCCAGGUUGUAAAUUAAAAGCCACUUAUUCAAUGUUAUUAGGGACCAAGCAGUGUGAAUACAUUUAAUAAAAGAGUCUUUCUGGCUUAAGCAGGCAAGGCUAUGGAGAAAUGAUUUGGUACAGCAUUCUAGGAAAUGUAUUUUGAGCAAAAACUAUAAAGGUUAUGUUGCAAAAAAUACAACAUAUUCAUGAGUUCAAAUCCUAUGAAAUGCAUUAAAGUUGUAUAGGUGCGGGAGAGUUUAAAUAGUACCAUAAACAGAUCACUGUGAUCCUGUCACUGUUAAUAGAACGCAAUAAACUUGUUUUCAAAAGAUUUUAAACAGGAUAAGACAACAUGAUUGCUCUAUCCAGUCCCUCUUGGUCCAGUGCUGUGCUCUAUCUGUAGUUAGAUCAACCAGUUCAUUUUAUGCUCUUUAAUUUAGUAAUGUGGUUUGGAUAAUUAUUUUUGACUUCUGUAGUGGUAUUUAUUUAAGAUUAAACAUAAACUAGAUUCAAGAUCAAUACAUUUCUCCCUAAACAUUAUCUUUGCCCCGAACGCCACAUAUAUUUCAGAAGUAUAUUGAAGAAAUAAUAAUAAAGUAAAAUGAUACAUAAUAUAUUGCACAUUAUUAAUUCUCUUGCCUAUGCAUUAAACAUAUAAUGUAGCAGAUUUAAUUUUUAAUUUACAGUACUUUUACACUAUCCCUCAUCAAAAGAUAUAAUUUGGCAAAUCAGUUUUUACAGAACUUCAACUCCCAUUUAAGAAAUGGGAGGGGGGGUGGAUUGUAGUCUGACUAAUCUCCUCAAGAGAAAAGCAAGACAAAGCAUAUAUUUGGAGAUUUCAUGUUAUAUACCGCUAUCUAUUCAACUCUAUUGCCUGGGGACACCGGGUAUCUACAAAUCCCCAGUCCCCUUUUCCAGCUUAGUCCUACUAGCCGGUUACACAGAGGAAUACAACAGAUUUUUCACCUGUAGACAGCCUACAUCGACAGAAGCCAUGUUUCACCCCUCUGUACCAGUUUGGGGUAUCUCAGUCCCUACUGGAGACAAGCCUGUUCACAGAGAAACGUGGACAGGCAAUAACAAUAUUUUGUGAAUUAGACUAUACUUAAAGUGGCUGACAUACCUCCUAUCCAGCUACCAUCUCCACUGCAAUCCACUUUGAUGAAGGACUUACAUCAGGCAUUUGAUAACCUAUGCACCCGUAUUUGGACACAGCUGGUUCAGCAUUCCCACAACUCAUCACCAGACCAGCCAAUAGUCCAGAUCUUCUCCCUGACAUACAGAAAGUAGAAGCUUAGAUGUUGCUUACCUAGAUUGCUAGCCUUGGAUAGAGGGUCACUCCGAUACCACUCACAUUCCAGAAGGGUUGGCCCUUGUAGACUCUUCAAAGAUACAGAUUUGCACACCAAGAGUGGACAGCUCCAUGGUCAUUGUGUGCUGGCUCGUAUUGCGGGGAGCACCUCUGCUUGUGAGUGUUUCCGAGUGAUUGUAGCGGAAUCAGGAUAGUACAAAGGAGCAGACUGCUGUCAUCAGGAGUUGGGUCAAUUGGGGUUCAUAGGAGUCUGUGUGGAAUGAGUCUACUUACCAAUUGGCGUGGUGUCUUUUCGUUAGUAUCUUACUCUUACAUUUCUUAACUAAAAUAUCCAGACCAAUCCUUAUGAAGUUGCAGACUGGUUGCUCCAGUGGUUCCAUACGUGUGCAUUUAAGCAGUAAAAUCUCAAACAAUUACUAUGUCUAGCAAUUGGUUAAUCAACUAACAUAAUUAAAAAAAAAAACAAUAAAAACCAAUAAUCUAACACCAAGAAUUAUGUGUAAUCUGUAAAGUGUACCAUUCAUACUAAAUAUGCUGACAAAUGCUG
This 4628-nucleotide long non-coding RNA is filed under the name Pelobates cultripes (western spadefoot toad). The record is from RNAcentral. Lineage: Eukaryota; Metazoa; Chordata; Amphibia; Anura; Pelobatidae.